GAGCGGCGGACGGGUGAGUAACACGUGGGUAACCUGCCCAAGAGACUGGGAUAACACCUGGAAACAGAUGCUAAUACCGGAUAACAACACUAGACGCAUGUCUAGAGUUUGAAAGAUGGUUCUGCUACCACUCUAGGAUGGGCCUGCGGUGCAUUAGCUAGUUGGUAAGGUAACGGCUUACCAAGGCAAUGAUGCAUAGCCGAGUUGAGAGACUGAUCGGCCACAUUGGGACUGAGACACGGCCCAAACUCCUACGGGAGGCAGCAGUGGGGAAUCUUCCACAAUGGACGAAAGUCUGAUGGAGCAACGCCGCGUGAGUGAAGAAGGGUUUCGGCUCGUAAAGCUCUGUUGGUAGCGAAGAAAGAUAGAGGUAGUAACUGGCCUUUAUUUGACGGUAAUUACUUAGAAAGUCACGGCUAACUACGUGCCAGCAGCCGCGGUAAUACGUAGGUGGCAAGCGUUGUCCGGAUUUAUUGGGCGUAAAGCGAGUGCAGGCGGUUCAAUAAGUCUGAUGUGAAAGCCUUCGGCUCAACCGGAGAAUUGCAUCAGAAACUGUUGAACUUGAGUGCAGAAGAGGAGAGUGGAACUCCAUGUGUAGCGGUGGAAUGCGUAGAUAUAUGGAAGAACACCAGUGGCGAAGGCGGCUCUCUGGUCUGCAACUGACGCUGAGGCUCGAAAGCAUGGGUAGCGAACAGGAUUAGAUACCCUGGUAGUCCAUGCCGUAAA
This 726-nucleotide ribosomal RNA is filed under the name uncultured bacterium. Its description in RNAcentral is "bacterial SSU rRNA". It matches the Rfam family "Bacterial small subunit ribosomal RNA", at positions 93 to 806 of the family's 1533-position model. The record is from RNAcentral.